AACGAACGCUGGCGGCAUGCAUAACACAUGCAAGUCGAACGAGAUCUUCGGGUCUAGUGGCGCACGGGUGCGUAACGCGUGGGAAUCUGCCCUUUGGUUCGGAAUAACAGUUGGAAACGACUGCUAAUACCGGAUGAUGACGAAAGUCCAAAGAUUUAUCGCCAGAGGAUGAGCCCGCGUAGGAUUAGCUAGUUGGUGUGGUAAAGGCGCACCAAGGCGACGAUCCUUAGCUGGUCUGAGAGGAUGAUCAGCCACACUGGGACUGAGACACGGCCCAGGCUCCUACGGAAGGCAGCAGUGGGUAAUAUUGGCCAAUGGGUGAAAGCCUGAUCCAGCAAUGCCGCGUGAGUGACGAAGGCCUUAGGGUUGUAAAGCUCUUUUACCCGGGAUGAUAAUGACAGUACCGGGAGAAUAAGCUCCGGCUAACUCCGUGCCAGCCGCCGCAGUAA
Molecule: ribosomal RNA, 449 nt
Filed under: uncultured bacterium
Lineage: Bacteria
Description: partial 16S ribosomal RNA
Rfam family: Bacterial small subunit ribosomal RNA
Source: RNAcentral